GCCCCUGCCUGGGCUUGGUGGGCUCCCUCCUUCCCCACAUCUUUUUCCCUUGCUUCAUAUCCCCUUAAUGGGGCAGAGUCUUUAUCCCCAUGAAGGGGAAAUGCAGAAAAAGUGCAUACAUCUCAGGCAGAAAGGACCCUGCCAAAUUCAAAACCCCAGAAACACUUAAAGAGAAAAGGCUAUUGUUUUUUCUCAGACCACUUUGCUACGUUUUACCAGAGUCUAGCUGCACUGGUAAGACUCAAGGGGUCCAGACCUGUGUGAUGGGGCCCCCUGCCAUGAAGCCCAGGAGACCUCCAGCCACGAGAGGCCAGGGCCUCUGAGCUCUCAGGCAAGCUGACUGCUUUGCUAGCAGGUGCUGGUGCUCAUUAGGGAGAUGAAAACACCCUGAGCUGAGAACACUGAGAGUCAUAAG
Long non-coding RNA from Bos taurus (domestic cattle), 415 nucleotides. The record is from Ensembl. Lineage: Eukaryota; Metazoa; Chordata; Mammalia; Artiodactyla; Bovidae.